RNAcentral lists this long non-coding RNA (919 nucleotides) under Gallus gallus (chicken). The record is from RNAcentral. Lineage: Eukaryota; Metazoa; Chordata; Aves; Galliformes; Phasianidae.
CAGGCCGGGACUGACAGGAGCGCGUGCAGAGGUCAUCGUUGCUCCCGUGCACGACCCAACGGCUCCACUCGCGGUCCCCCACGUAGAGCAUCACCGUUCGCAGCGCGUUGUUGCCGUAAUUGAAGUACAGCCGCAUCCCGGCCAGCGCCAGCAGCCCUCCGUCCCCGCACUCCCACCGCUGCAGCCCUCCGUCCUCCCGGCACGGCCUCAACUCCACGACGGACAGAUUCCUCCCCGCCGCCGCCGUGACGCACCGCCGCCGCUCCGCGUUCCACAGCCGCUUCCCCGGCAGCCACUGGAAGCGUUGCGCGGCCGCUUCGGGACGGCACGGGGCCGCCGUCAGCUGCUGCCCCCGCGCCUCCACGCACAUAUUGUGAGCUCUGUUGUACAGCAGGAAGGAGCGGGACGCUGCGGGGGAGGCGACGGGAGAGGAGGAACACGUUGAGCAGCACCGAGACCCCCAGGGCCACGGCGCCCACCAGCAGCAGCCUGUCCUGGGGGCAGCUCUGCCGUGCCGGGGACACUGAGGGAGGUGACAGUGGGUCCUGAUGGGGGCCGCAGGACCCCAAUUUGGGCUGCAUUGCCACGUCCCUAUGGGACACCCACGCCGUACCUGGGGGGUCAGGCUCCUGUCCCCCAUUCCUGCCCAGGCUGCCCGGACUCGAUGUUGCCAUACAUCGUCCUCUUUGUCACCACUGAGCUGUCCCCAUGUCUGUCCUCUUUGAUAAGAGCUGAGAAAAGGGGGGGGGGGACGGGGGACCAGAUGUGCCCCCCCACCCAGGGGGUGGGCCUCAAAGGGCCCCCCCGGCACCCACAGCUCCAUCCCCCCACCCCAGGGCUGGGCUGGAGGUGACGCUGACGGUGACGGUCCACAAUGCGGGGACAGGAAGGACUGGGGGACACCCAUAAUGGCAUCUGG